Molecule: transfer RNA, 70 nt
Filed under: Dipodomys ordii (Ord's kangaroo rat)
Lineage: Eukaryota; Metazoa; Chordata; Mammalia; Rodentia; Heteromyidae
Rfam family: tRNA
About the family: Transfer RNA (tRNA) molecules are approximately 80 nucleotides in length. Their secondary structure includes four short double-helical elements and three loops (D, anti-codon, and T loops).
Source: Rfam by way of RNAcentral
GGGGAUGUGGCUCAGUGGUAGAGUGCUUGCCUUGCAUGCAUGAGGCCCUGGGUUCAAUUCCUCAGUACCA